RNAcentral lists this ribosomal RNA (253 nucleotides) under uncultured bacterium. RNAcentral's name for it is "partial 16S ribosomal RNA". It matches the Rfam family "Bacterial small subunit ribosomal RNA", at positions 524 to 776 of the family's 1533-position model. The record is from RNAcentral.
UACGUAGGGCGCAAGCGUUGUCCGGAAUUAUUGGGCGUAAAGAGCUCGUAGGCGGUCUGUUACGUCCGCUGUGAAAGCCCAGGGCUUAACCCUGGGCUUGCAGUGGAUACGGGCAGACUAGAGGCAGGUAGGGGAGAAUGGAAUUCCCGGUGUAGCGGUGAAAUGCGCAGAUAUCGGGAGGAAUACCAGUGGCGAAGGCGGCUUCUUGGCCUGUUCUUGACGCUGAGGCGCGAAAGCUGGGGGAGCAAACGGG